RNAcentral lists this non-coding RNA (429 nucleotides) under Gossypium hirsutum (cotton). Its description in RNAcentral is "Bacterial large subunit ribosomal RNA". It matches the Rfam family "Bacterial large subunit ribosomal RNA", at positions 1603 to 2024 of the family's 2925-position model. Lineage: Eukaryota; Viridiplantae; Streptophyta; Magnoliopsida; Malvales; Malvaceae. The record is from Rfam by way of RNAcentral.
UGUGGGAUCGACACUCGAGCGACCUUCAACAAAAGGGUAGUUUUACCCGAAACUAACAUAGGUGGGUAGGUAGAGAAUACCUAGGGGCACAAGACAACUCUCUCUAAGUAACUCGGCAAAAUAUCCCUGUAACUUCGAGAGGUGCCUCCUCAAAAAGGGGGUUGCAAUGACCAGGCCUGGGCAACUGUUUACCAAAACCACAAGUACAAAGAACUUAACUCUCCGCAAAGUUGUAAGACCAUGUAUGGGGUUGAUGCCUGCCUAGUGCCGAAAGGUCAAGGAAGUUGGUGAAUUGGUGACAGGGGAGCCGACAACCAAAGCCCCGGUGGACAGCGACCGUAACUAUAACUGUCCUAAGGUAGUGAAAUUCCUUGUUGGGUAAGUUUCGACUCGCACGAAAGGUGUAACGAUCUCUAACUACAAGUUUUG